GCAGUUUGUGCAUUCACUUAUUCUGGGUAUCAGCCAAGUUUGCAGACAAGGAGAACUGACACAGUGAUCAACCGAUGUAUCUAUGACAAAUGCACUUCAACUGUUAAUUGUAGUGGAAUCCACUAUGACCACCGGGCAGAAUUAAACAAUUUUACAUUCGAUGCAUUGAAUAAUUUUCAGAAUGAAGAAUGACGACAACAUAAAAUACCGAAAAUUUAAGGACAAUUGGGCAGACAUCUUCAGCAAGUACUGGCCCUCACCUGAUAGACCUUGACUGCUAGAUAAAUAUGGAUGGGUUAUUAUAGGGAGCAAUAAGAACACAAACAAAUAAGCCGAAAAAUGUCAAGCCCUUCAUCUCAUUCUAAGACCUAAGCAUGAGAAUUCCUCUAGCUUCACAACCUUGCAAAGAGAUGUCUUACUACCUAGUUGACUCCUUCCAGCAACCAACAGUUCCAAGCUGGAAAGCAUUCAGUAUUUUUAUUUAACUAGCUUACAGAAGGCUUAAAUUACAAAAGAUAUUCUUUCAGACCUACAGUAUAACACAACAUCAGAUCGCACAGCUACAACAACACAGAUUAGUCAGACCUGAAUCACAGAAAGAUUCACUUCCAUGGCAUGCUUGAAAUGCCCUGGGGGUUGCUGUUAUUGCAGGCUCCAGUACUCUGGUUAAGUGGACUACCAGGCCCACCUGAGGAUUCACUAAGAGUCCCACGUGAUUGUGGGCUGCUUGGUCCAGUUGUCCCUAGUGCUGGGGCAAAUUUCAUCAUUGCAGAUAAGGGUUCGAUUUGAUUUGCUGACUUUGAUUCCUUGCGACCAUCUGAAAUGAAACUUGCCACAACUACCUGAACAGGAGAUGCAGCUGUUAGAAGACCCGCUACACCACCACCUAGCACACGACCAUCUGGCCCAGAUAAAGACACACUUAAUCCCCCAGUUCUGCUCCUUUGACCCCCAUUUUCUGAUGGCAGAAAUGAGCCAGACAGUGACAAAAUUUCAAAUCGCCCCUCAUAAGUGACAGUUCCACCAGAUGUGGCCUGUUGGCGAAGAGUCACAUUGGAUAUGGCACCAUUUGCUGACAGUAUACAAACCGCCCUUGGACCAUUAUGAGAAAAUGACAUUAUUUUGGAUGAUACAUCCUAAAUAAGACAUAAAAGGACAUGUCAGCUUCUGAUUUAUAGAACACCUCAGUAACAAGUAACAUAAGCAUAGAAUAGAAUAAAAACACAAGAACACAAGCUAGGAUCAAACCAAAGAGACAACACAAGUUGGUAUUACAAUAUCAGGAGCAUAGAUGCCCCGAAGUCGUCAAGAUUGAUAUGCCAAGAUAGAAAUAAUACUUCAAAGGAAAUGGUAACAUUACCUUCUUUUCUACUAUUGGUACAUCAAUCUAACUAAUAGCUUUUGUUUGUGAAAUUUUUGGUAAACCACAAAUGCAAGAAUGAAGCAGUGUAAGUUUUGCAUAUGAGGUGUUAUGUCCACGUUAGAAUAUUAGAUGUUAGACUAUUGAGAACUAUGCACUUGUUUAACAUGUUAGAACUUAUGAAAAUAUUCUUGCAAGUCAUUUCCAUUAUUUUCUUAUUGACUAUCACAUCCCACAUUCAAAAUAAAAAGAAAUAAAUAAACCAGGUACAAUUGGUUUGAUAUGGGAAAAAACAUGAAGUGUCUAGCUUUUAAUAUUGGACGCCAAUAAUUUGCCACAUUGCUCAAGAACUAUGAAAGUGUUGCAGACACGAAUCAGUCCAGAGUCUCCAGACAAUAUACAGAUUUGUGGACAAUGCUCUCCAGACAAUAUACAGAUUUGUGGACAAUGCUCUUACACGAAAUUCCAUGACUUUCACAUCAAUGCUCUCCAGCUUUCACAGUGAUAACAUGUGGUGUAAAUCCAACCCCAGCUGAUCCUGUGUGCAGAAACCUCUGUGAGUAAAUCAUGGUACAGGGGCAAUGAAUCACAGCCCAGGAAUGACAUCAUAAGUAAAAGUUUGUAAUGCAUAAACUAGCCAAAGAGAAAAAUAUAAUAAUUUCAGGUAUUUAGGGCAUAAAAAAGAACAAAUGAAAAAAAUUACUAUUCUCUCUAAUAGAUAAAGAAAGAUGAUUAAUUUUCCUUCUUGGUUUAACUUUCAAACAAUUUUUUUUUUUCAUUAAAGAAAAUUUUUACGCAAAAUAUAUACCAAGAAACAAAAUUACAAAAGGAUUUCAGAAGUGAAACCUAUUUCAAACAAGUAAAAAUUAACUGCUUCUUUACCAAAGUAAAACAUUAGAUUUGAAAUUUGUUGCUUAAAGAAAUGAAUUUUACCAAAACAAUUAUCCAAGAAUAUGAAACGAAUAAACAGCAUAUAAAUGUUGACGAGAAAUGAAUCUAUAACUUGAUAGCCAGAAAGCCUAGUGCAUAAUAGCAAGGGCAGAUAGGUAAUUUUGCUGCACAAGAAUAUGAAGUCAGAAGGAACGCAUCUCAAGCUCCAGCAUAACCCACAUCGCUAUCCUUUUUAUUUUCUUUUUCUAUUUUGCAGAGUCAUACUUGCUUAAAACCAAAUAACCCUUUCAUCAUAUCAGCAACAACCAUCUCACUUCACGCCCCUAUCAGAAUCCACGAGGUCACAAACUAACACAAAGUAACCAAGGCCCCCAAGACCCUACAGAAAAUAUGACCAAACCACUAAAAGAAACUCGUAACAACUACAGCAGGAGAACAGGUCAAAACCUCGAAAGGCAGCCACUGUUGCCUUGAAGACAUUCCAAUCUCACCACGUGACAGGCAAAAAAAAUAUUAAUCAUGCAAAAGAUCAAUAUCAAAACAGGAUAAAAAUAUCAUAAAUCCUUUCAGAUUUUAAAGAGAAAUAACAAGAUAAAUAUUACCCAGCGCUUCCAGUUGCUGCUUCUUGCUAGAACCAGGGGGUCUGCCUCUCGCUUUCUUGGACCCAGUUGGCGAGACUGAUCCGCCCGGAGGAAGAGGACUAGUAACAGCAGCACCCGCAGAAGGAUGAGGAGAAGAGAAACCGCCUCUACUUGUCUGGGUUACAGACUGAGAUGCAGGUACAAGAGCCAAAGCCAUAGUACCAUCAGGCCCGUACUUCCUCGGCCUCCCUCGCUUCUUCUUCAAUGUCUCAGACACGCUACCCAUGUUCAUGUUGACGUUAAUCCCAUGGGGUGACACUGCAGCUCCGCCGGGUGAUCCUUCCAUACCACCACCACCGCCGGCGGCACCAGAUGAGGAAGGAGGUUGGUACGUAGGAGAGGUAGCUGUGGACACGGGUUUGUAUACGGCUGUCCCAUCAGCACCGAAGGCUAAACGCAUGUUCUGUAUGACUGGCUGUGGCGUUACCUGACCUUUCUGGAGACUCACGGCGAAGGGAUCCCUAGUGCUUGUCAUCACCCCUGUCUCCGAUCCCGACAUCGCAGCUACAGCAAUCUAACAGAAUCUUGAAGCUUCAAAGGAUAAGAUUUUCCGCUCCUGCACUACUGAGACUUGAAAGACCGAAGUCCAAACAAGCCUCAGUGACUUGGGUUUCUGGCUGACUAAAAAAAAAAAAAAAAUCAGAGACCUUCCAUUUUUCCCUAGAAAUAACAUGCAGAAUUUUACCAAACCCUAACUCGAAAACACAAGCUUUCCCCUCAAAUCUCGGAGAUAAAAUCUAGUAAACGCAAAAUCAAAACCCUAAUGACUGCAAAAGUGAAAAUUUAAUUAAAUAAAUAAAAUAAAAAUUCCUCAAAAUAUUUUUACAUAAUUGCUACAGAAUUUCAGUCAAAAUUGAAAACAAAACCAAAAAAAAAAAUUCUAAAUAAACAGGAAGAAACAAUUUCCAACAUUAAUUUUUUUUCCCAAAUUAAAAACCCAAAAAUACACA
RNAcentral lists this unclassified non-coding RNA (3842 nucleotides) under Hevea brasiliensis (rubber tree). The record is from RNAcentral. Lineage: Eukaryota; Viridiplantae; Streptophyta; Magnoliopsida; Malpighiales; Euphorbiaceae.